UACGUAGGUGGCAAGCGUUGUCCGGAAUUACUGGGCGUAAAGCGUGCGCAGGCGGUUUUGUAAGCCAGAUGUGAAAUCCCCGGGCUUAACCUGGGAAUGGCAUUUGGGACUGCAAGGCUUGAGUGCGGCAGAGGGGGGUAGAAUUCCACGUGUAGCAGUGAAAUGCGUAGAGAUGUGGAGGAAUACCGAUGGCGAAGGCAGCCCCCUGGGAUAACACUGACGCUCAUGCACGAAAGCGUGGGGAGCAAACAGG
Molecule: ribosomal RNA, 253 nt
Filed under: uncultured bacterium
Lineage: Bacteria
Description: partial 16S ribosomal RNA
Rfam family: Bacterial small subunit ribosomal RNA
Source: RNAcentral